CGCUUUGGAUAAACUAAUCAGAAUCAGGUGAACUGUCAGUUGUGUACAGUUGGACGUCAGACGCUGAAAACGACACACAGAUCCAGCAGUCCCGGUCUCCAACAGUGCUCGUGCACCUCAUUGCUGUCCGAGUUGUUACAUUCCAAGAGGAAGCACAGACGAGAUGUUCGUACUCAGGCUUUCAGUUUUCUGUUCUGCGCGACCCUCUUGGCCGCCUGUGCCCCCAGAGCCCGCACUGCAGGCCACGUCGCGAGUGCUUGUAUCCAAACUUGGUGGUGGCUGAACAAGAAGAGACCCUUGACCAGGAUGAGUGUACAUUCUGCUGGUGGAGCACCCCACACAGCAACUGGGUACCUGUGGCCCAGCCCUGCAGAUAGACAGGCUGUCACACUGAGUGAGGACUUCACAAAUGCUCUCAAGAGGACCCGAGCUGCAGACCACCCGCCUAUCUCACGCAGGGUCCCGCUCCCGGAGGGAGGGACUUAGGUCUGAGACGCAGAAGCAGGUAUGAGAAGAAGCUGGUGAGAGACGAGCUACAACCAGACACCCCGAAGCGAAAACAGGAGCUCCUAGCUGCGUGGAGGUGCUCAGGACCUCUCGGGGUAGUCGGUGAACUCUGUCAGGGGCUUUACCGGGCUCACCAGAGGCCAGAACAGCACGUCUGUCUCCGGGAGACACUCCCCCUUCACACGCCCUCCGGCCAGGCUCCUGGUUUGUAGCUUCGCCCGCCUUGGGGCCGCUGUCAACGUGGCUGCUUCUGUCGUGAUGCCUUUGUCUUUGUUCCCAAUCUCUGCCUCCUCAGCAGAACGUGUGUUUCGCUGCAUUGACACUCCAGCUGCUUCCUCAGUACACACCAGGAUGUCCAAGGGCCACAGAGGACUCACCGAUCUCAUCACAGCCCGUGGAGCCUGAAGGGUGACUGGCUGUUUUCUGAGGAAAGAGCUCCUACGGCACAGCCGCUCCCCUCCCACAGCUCGUGGAACUAGACGCUGCCAUCUAGCACCCCCGGCCCAGAGAGGACGGCAUCCUCUGACUGUCACUACUUUUCUCUAGGCGGGAGGGAUGCUUAAGCUAGUUUCUUACCAAAUGCAAAAUAAAUUAACUGAUAAAAAUACUUAAGAAGAGUUU
RNAcentral lists this long non-coding RNA (1128 nucleotides) under Bos indicus x Bos taurus (hybrid cattle). Its description in RNAcentral is "lncRNA (ENSBIXG00000008728.1)". The record is from RNAcentral. Lineage: Eukaryota; Metazoa; Chordata; Mammalia; Artiodactyla; Bovidae.